RNAcentral lists this ribosomal RNA (411 nucleotides) under uncultured Methanomicrobiales archaeon. RNAcentral's name for it is "bacterial SSU rRNA". It matches the Rfam family "Archaeal small subunit ribosomal RNA", at positions 927 to 1338 of the family's 1478-position model. Lineage: Archaea; Methanobacteriati; Methanobacteriota; Methanomicrobia; Methanomicrobiales. The record is from RNAcentral.
UCACCAGAUAAGACAGCUGAAUGAUAGUCGGGCUGAAGACUCUACUUGACUAGCUGAGAGGAGGUGCAUGGCCGUCGUCAGUUCGUACUGUGAAGCAUCCUGUUAAGUCAGGCAACGAGCGAGACCCACGCCAACAGUUGCCAGCUCGUCCUCCGGGAUGGUGGGGACACUGUUGGGACCGCUCUGCUAAAGAGGAGGAAGGAAUGGGCAACGGUAGGUCAGCAUGCCCCGAAUUAUCUGGGCUACACGCGGGCUACAAUGGGUGGGACAAUGGGUAUCGACACCGAAAGGUGAAGGCAAUCUCCUAAACCCAUCCGUAGUUCGGAUUGUGGGCUGCAACUCGCCCACAUGAAGCUGGAAUCUGUAGUAAUCGUGUCUCAAAAUGGCACGGUGAAUAUGUCCCUGCUCCUU